RNAcentral lists this long non-coding RNA (1511 nucleotides) under Helianthus annuus (common sunflower). Its description in RNAcentral is "sRNA HanXRQr2_Chr16g0774321". The record is from RNAcentral. Lineage: Eukaryota; Viridiplantae; Streptophyta; Magnoliopsida; Asterales; Asteraceae.
AUGAUGUGUAAGUUACCUGUGAUGAGUCAGCAACGGAUGCUAGAGCAGGUGAAGAUAUCAGGGUUGCAGUUCUUGCUGUAAUUUAGCACGGCUGAAGCAGCAUGGGCCUUUUUUUCUACAUUGAUGUGAAUCAAAUAAGAUCCAUAUAACCUAAAAAAAUGUCAAACUUAGGAAUCAAAAUUAGAAUUAUCGAUUUAGGUGCAUCAGAGCCACAAAAGUAGCAAAUAUAUCACACCUGGAAACCUUUAAAACAUUCAAAGAAUAUAUGCAUAAAUUAAAUGUAAAAGAAUGCAUCACUAUCACUAACUACCAUAGAUCAUACCUUCAAUUCAAAGCACAAACCCUACCUUUCUUGAGCUUCAUGUAGGAACUGGUUCCCAACAAAGAUAGUUACUCUUUUUCUCUUGCUUCGUUUCUUAUUAUAUGAAACAGUCAGUGUUAUUCUUUUACAACUGUCAUUUCCUCGUCGAAGAAUUACCUCUUCAACAAAACAAAAAAAAAAAAAAAUCCUAAAUUAGCAUUUGUAUACGAAUGAAACCAUUGUUCCAUUAUGAUUUUUUUCAAUUAGUGAAAACAAUUAUAGAGAAUAAAACCAAACUUUAAAAUCAUGAAAUAAAACUAUGCAAAAAAAUAAUAAUAAUAUGAUUUCGUAUCUGUGCAUAAACUCUCAAUCUUGCAUGGUAGAAGAGGCAUCGCAACCUUUCUUCUCAAAGCCGAAGAGGAAGGGAAUGCAAGAUAUCAUCCAUGUGUACCACUGAGUUGGAGCCAAAUAAGAGUCUCAAGUCGUACAAUGGUUGCCUUUCUCCUAAUUAGUACUCCAUAACUAUUUAGCCAAAAGUUUUGAUAAAUAACUAUUUUUCAUAGAAAACACCAAAACAAAGCAACCAAAAGCGACUACCUUGACAUUAAAUCUUCUUCUAUAUAUAAAGGUGGCCUUGACAACCCUCUCGGUCUCAUCCUUCUUCUUAAUAGUGUAGAUUGACACUAAAAAAACCCAUAAAUUAAGCCAUCAUCAAAUCGGCAAAAAAGUACCAUAACCAUAAACCAAAAACAAAUAUAAUCAUAACAAACCAAAAACAAAAUUGAAGAUGCAAUAAACGUGCAAUAGUUAAUCAACAUUCAAUGUAAGCCUAUUUUUUUACCAUUGACGCUUCUUUAAAGUAUCACAUUGUAUUGGUACAAUUGAUUAAAAUAUAACAAAAAUUUCUAUAUUCUGUUUCAUAAUAUCUUGCAUACUCUGCACCUGCUACGUCCAAAGAUCCAAAAUGGUAAUAUAAAAUUCGGACAUAAUCAAACACUACAAUUAAUUGUUCUGGCUACAUGCUUUAUGGAUCCUCCCUAAGUUGCGACAAUAUGUAUAAAUAUACAAAGAAAUUAAAUUUGUAAAAACAUAUGCUAAAGGUUGGAACAACAACGUUUGUACAAAGAAAGUAACAUUAUAAUAUUAGAUGAAACUGUAGGCAUUUGAUCGAGCACCUUAUAAGCACAUGUAAAACAAUGAGAACACAAUC